AGGGCCUAAAUCCAUGGCCCUCAGUUUGCUCAGAUUUAAGCCCUGACAGGCCCUGGAAGGCCCUACAGCCAAUCGCCGAUCGCCUCUCGCUUGGUGCUUGGCCCUCGGCUGUAGGACCUGCCUCUGAAAUUUAUCUACUCACAUUGCUGUUUUUGAACUGCUAAAUAUCAGGCGUGAAAUUGAUUUGGAGAGAGAGAAGUCAUAGUCCAACAAGUGAAUAGAGGGGAAAUGGCCAAUAAUGAAGAUAAUCAUGCAUCAGAGAGUGUUUCCAUGAAUGGAGUAAGCCAGCUAACACCUAAAAAAGGGAAAAGAAAAGGAAGGCUGGACUUCAAUGCACGAGGUACAAGGGCACAGAGAUGGAUUUCACAGAACAAAGUCCUAUGUGUAUCUUUAUGCAUCAACAUUUGUUUUAUCAUUUCUACAGUAGCAUAUUUUGCAUCUCCGCAACCAAAUAACAAUGAGCAACCAUGCAUAUCUUCACCACCCUUGUGUCCCGACGACUCACAUAUGCAUAGGAAAAGAUGCUACUACUUUCGGAAGAAGAAUAUAAUUGGACUUCCAGUGAGAAGUUCUGCUCCUCGCGUAACAGUUCCUUAGCAAAGAUUGAAACUGAUGAACAGGAUUUUGUGGAACGUAACAUACAAAACUAUCCCUUUUGGGUUGGCCUCUAUAAAUCCGUUGAUCAACAAUGGAAAUGGAUUGAUGGAGAAAAUGCAAGGAAGCCUGCUGGAGAUGGAGGCGACUGCGCCUAUUUACAUGUGUUCAAAAAGAUGGAAGCAAACUCUGGAAGAUGCAGUACACCACACCGUUUCAUCUGCAAAUCUGAAAUACCUUAAAAGUUAUGUUAAACAUGCAUGUUAAUAGCCAGAGCCGGUCCAACAAUGAGGCAAAUUAAGCGGUCGCUUGGGGCGCAAAACAUAUGGGGGCGCAGUCGGGACUGCUUUUUCUGUUGAUUUGUUGUAAAACAUGAUGUUUUGGUGCUUAAUUUGUAAAAUCUUAAUGUAAUUUGAUGUUUAAUAGGCUUUUCCUUAAUCCCUCCUUAUUAUCCAACUUAUCCAACUUAUUAUCCAACUUUUCACUUAUCCAACGCUUUUAUUUUUCAGUGAUUGGUUUUGGGGGGGGGGGGGUGCCAAAAUUCUGUUCGCCUACACUUGAAAAAUACCUAGGGCCAGCUCUGUUAAUAGCAUGUGGCAUAGGUCACCUAGCUUCAAUGUUGUUGUUGUUGUUGUUAAUAAUAAUAAUAAUAAUAAUAAUAAUAAUAAUAAUAAUAAUAAUAAAUCACACAGUCCUAAAUGCUUGGGAAGUGUUCGACUUGUGAUUUUGUUAUACAAAAUCCAGCAUAUAUAUCUCAUUUGCUGUGUUAUACUGUGUCCUUCUGUCAAUAAUAAUAAUAAUAAUAAAGAGGGUAGGAAGAGACCCCUUGUGCCAUGUGGUCCAACCCCAUCCGCCUUUGUGCACCAAAAGCACUAGCAAAGCACCCCUUAAUAAUUAAUUAUAAACAAGCAAAGCUUUGGAAGGUGUGCACCAGGUGAGGGAGGAGGUGGAAAAAGCGAGGAGGAGGCAGCCGCUGCGGCGGGGGCUGGAUAAAUGGCUUAGAUCGGCCACAUGUGGCCCCCGAGCCUUAGUUUGAGGACCCCUCGCUUAAAGCUUUGGUGUUCUAACACUUUUGUUUUUAAAGAGAGAAUUACAAGCAGGCAGCCACUGUAAAGCGCACCAUUUUUUGGCCAAAUUACAAAGAAUGUGCACUUUUUGCAUUGCAUUCGGCAGCAAAGAAUUUUUUUGGUUCCAGGGUAUUGAAAAUUGAGGUGCACAUUAGAUUUGAUGGUGCAUUAGAUUUGAGAAAAUACAGUAAAGCAAUAGCAUUUUACAAUUAGAAUACACUGCAAUUGUAUUUUCUCAAUAUAAUAGAUGUACAAAUCAAUAAACCUACAAAAAGAAUAAUUAUGAUUAUAACGACAAGAGUAGUACAGUGAUACCUGGACUUAAGAGUUUAAUUCAUUCUGUGGCUAAGCUCUUAACUCAAACCACUCUUAUCUCAAUGUUCAUUUUCCCAUUCAUUUAAAUGUAUUGAAAUGUAUUAAUCUGUUCCAGUUCCUUGGACAACCCCCAUUUUUGUUACAUGUUUUUAAAUAAGAAAAUGUACUUUAUAAAUAAUAAGUAAUAUAUGAAUGCACAUUCACAUGGAACACUAAAAAAGAAAGAUCAACUUUAAAAAGCAACUUGUUAUGCUAUUUAUUAGAAGAAGUCAGCCUUUGCUUUAGAAAAUGCAUAAGGAUGUGGGUGAACUACAAUUCCCAAAAUCAUGGGUCAAUCCCCCCCAAACCUCACCAGUAUUCAAAGUUGGCCACCUUGGGUCUGUGUGCCAAGUUUGGUCGAGAUCCAGCCUCAGCUGGGUUCAAUGCUCUCUAGAUGCGGAUGAACUAGAACUCCCAUAUUCCAAGGUCAAUCAUCCCUGCAACUGGGUACUUUGUGUGACAAAAAAGAGAGGCUGGGCAAACAUAAUGUUAUAAAUUGAUGUUGGAAAGUAAAAUGACUAUAUAAUCUCCUAAUUUGACUCUGAGAGACCAGAGUUGUAAUUCUUGGUCAGACAUGGAAGAACAAUGAGAGACCUUGGGCAACUCACGCUCUCUCAGCCUCAGAGGCAAAGGUCCCCUAAUUAAAUCUUGCCAAGAAAACCCCUCAUAGCUUUGCAUAAAUCAUCAUUAAUUUAAAGGCCCAUAUAAUCAAUACAAUCUACAGCAAGGACAGACAGAAGUGGGGUUAGCUUGUAAAUUACAAUGUUAUGUCAAUAAGUAAAUAAAAACAAUUUACUCCUCAAGUGUUUCACAAGAGCAACAUUAAUGUCUAUCCCCAGCCAAAUAGUGCAAUAUUGUGUAAUCUGAGUCAAUAUGAUAUUUUGUUAUAGGUUGAAUCAAUCUGAUAAUUUGUUACAGACUGAGUCAAUCUGGUAUUUUGUCACAGAUUUCUGUAACAAUGAAAAUGACAAUGAAAUUCUGGAUUAUAUAAAACAGAAACAGACCACAUCAAAUGAGAGUGAUGCCAUGUCUGAAAUUCUUCAUCACGUUUGCAGAAGAUUAAUCCCCAUAUUUGAAAUUAUGCCUUUUCCUUAUAUUGCACAGCUCAUCUGUCCAGUGGCAGUUCCAGGCACACCAAAUGGGCAAGCAAAUAUGCAUGAGCAUAAAACAUGGUAUAUGGGCUGCCCAAAUGUUGACAUUCCUUGUGCAACUCCACUCCUUCAAAUGUGAAGAGAAUGUAAGCAUUCAUAGGACACCAACAGGAUUCUAUCAGCCUCCUCCCACCAGACUCAAAUCAAGGAAGGGCUUCAUGAGAACCACCACUCCUCUUGAUGUUCCUCCAGCAACAGCAAGGGUGUCCCUCUGGGCAGCUAAACCUGGCAAUUCUAACUGGAUGGCCCCCCAUGAGGGUCUUCCUCCUGGGGCAAACCAAGAAUGGGCAACCUGGAAGUCCCUGAACAGACUAAGAAGCGGAGUGGGCAGAUCUAAAGACAACUUGGCAAUGUGGCACUACCUGGAGGAAUCCUCCACCUUGUGUGACUGUGGAGCAGAACAAACAACUCCGCAUAUGUAUGCUUGUCCACAAUGUCCUGCCUCAUGCACGGAGGAGGAGUUGUUUAAAGCUACGGACAAUGCGGUUGCUGUUGCCCGUUUUUGGUCUAAAACUAUUUAGUUGCUUGUGAUUUCCUUUUUUUCCCAUCAUUUUAAAAUGUAUUUGUUAUGCAAUGCUUUUGACACGAAAUAAAAUAAACAGGAUUCUAGUCCUUGUGUUUAAUACAA
Molecule: RNA transcript, 3794 nt
Organism: Anolis carolinensis (green anole)
Lineage: Eukaryota; Metazoa; Chordata; Lepidosauria; Squamata; Anolidae
Exons: 7
Source: RefSeq, a predicted model, not a curated record